UUUUCUUAGUAGCGGCGAGCGAAAAGAAAUCAGUUCAGCACUAAGUCACUUUGUCUUUAUGGCAAAUGUGAGAUGCAGUGUAUGGAACGUCUACAAUCUAGUAUGAGAAAUUAGCGAUUUAAGUCCUUCUUAAAUGAGGCCAAUUACCCAUAGAGGGUGCCAGGCCCGUAUAACGUUAAUGAUUACUAGAAGUCGCUUCCAAAGAGUCGUGUUGCUUGAUAGUGCAGCACUAAGUUGGUGGUAAACUCCAUCUAAAACUAAAUAUAAUCAUGAGACCGAUAGUAAACAAGUACCGUGAGGGAAAGUUGAAAAGAACUCUGAAUAGAGAGUUAAAUAGUACGUGAAACUGCUUAGAGGUUAAGCCCGAUGAACCUGAAUAUCCGUUAUGGAAAAUUCAUCAUUAGAAUUGUAAUAUCUUUUUUUUUUUUUUUUUAACAAAAAAAAAAAAAAUAUUAUAAGGAUAGGGGGCAUUUUUUCUAUAUAAGGACAUUGUAAUCUAUUAACAUAAUAAAAUAUUUAUCAAAAAAUCAUAAACAUAAAGUUUAUUUAAAUUAUUAUGCUUGCAUUUUAACAUAAAAAAAAUGUUAAUGAUUUGAUAAAGUGUCGAUAGAUUUAUCAUAUAUACAAUGCUUUAAUUUUUUGGAAUUAUAUAAUAGCAUAAUUAUCUUUGAUUUUUAUGUUUAUUAUAUGCAUUUGUAUGAUUAACAAUGCGAAAGAUUCAGGAUACCCUCGGGACCCGUCUUGAAACACGGACCAAGGAGUCUAACAUAUAUGCAAGUCAUUGGGAAUUUUAUAAACCUAAUGGCAUAAUUAACUUAACUGUUAAUAUAUUAUGGGAUUAGUUUUUAAAUUAUUUAUAAUUUAUUAACACAAUCCCGGGGCGUUCUAUAUAGUUAUGUAUAAUAAUAUUUAUAUUAUU
Molecule: ribosomal RNA, 919 nt
Filed under: Stegana sp. L224 JL-2019
Lineage: Eukaryota; Metazoa; Arthropoda; Insecta; Diptera; Drosophilidae
Description: partial 28S ribosomal RNA
Rfam family: Eukaryotic large subunit ribosomal RNA
Source: RNAcentral